RNAcentral lists this ribosomal RNA (254 nucleotides) under uncultured bacterium. RNAcentral's name for it is "partial 16S ribosomal RNA". It matches the Rfam family "Bacterial small subunit ribosomal RNA", at positions 526 to 779 of the family's 1533-position model. The record is from RNAcentral.
CGAAGGGCGUAGCGUUGUUCGGAAUUACUGGGCGUAAAGCGCACGUAGGCGGAUAUUUAAGUCGGGGUGGAAAUCCCGGGCGUCAACCCCGGAACCUGCCUUCGAUACUGGGUAUCUUGAGUUCGGAAGAGGUGAGUGGAAUUGCGAGUGUAGAGGUGAAAUUCGUAGAUAUUCGCAGGAACACCAGUGGCGAAGGCGGCUCACUGGUCCGAUACUGACGCUGAGGUGCGAAAGCGUGGGGAGCAAACAGGAUU